Long non-coding RNA from Corticium candelabrum, 1923 nucleotides. RefSeq lists it as uncharacterized. NCBI's taxonomy places the organism in Eukaryota, Metazoa, Porifera, Homoscleromorpha, Homosclerophorida, Plakinidae. The record is from RefSeq and is a predicted model, not a curated record. The transcript has 5 exons.
CGGAAAUACUGUUGCGCGCAGUUUUCGUCCUAAAUUGUUCCGUCCCGACUGGCCUGCGGUUUUCACAUUGUUCUCUCUUAUCUAUUACUUAAAAAUACAAUUGUCUUCUGUUGUCGUAUCAUUUUUCGUUGUCGUGGUGGAGUUUUUGCCGUUUGAGCCGUUCGCGGCCCUAAUGAGUCCGAAUCGUCCGGUCGUUUUGAGUCUAUGGAUCCAGCGUGCUUCUAUAGUGUCGGUCUUUUGUUCGGAUCGUCUUCUCGUUGGAUCGGUGUGAUCAUCCAUUCGCCUUCGGGAUUGUGUCGUCUAUCGUUGCAGUGUGUGUGUGUGUGUGUGUGUGUGUGUGUGUGUGUGUGUGUGUGUUUGAUUUGUGUAAAAAAAAAAAAAAAAAAAAAAAAAAAAAAAAAAAAAAAAAAAAAAAUUUGUGUAGGUAGAUCUUUUUACGAUCACAUAGUCGGAGUUUGUUUCUAUGGUGUCUCAUACGUACGCGUAGCAUUUUCGUUUCCGUUUGGUUUCCGUUAGCGCGAGGCGUGUUCUUUCGAUGUAUUCUUCGAGGGCGGUGUUGUUUGUCUUGGAUGGGCCCCAUUUGGAUCGUCUCUUGAACGGUGUCGUGCCGUAUGCGUGGACGGUUCUCUGUGCGAUAGCAUGGUCGGUGGUGUCUGGGUAUUCGUCUGUGUCUCCGUGGUUUGUGUCUCGUGUGUUGUUGUCCGUCGUUUGCCAACGGUUUGCGUGUAGUUUGAGUCUAAGUUUACGGGCGAAAUUGUCGAAUUCUUGGAUAUGGCGUUGUCGAUUGGGUCUCGUCUCGGUGGGUACGUACGUUAGCCCCUCGUCGAGUACGUGCACUGUUAGUUCGGUGUGUGAUAGUGUAGCGUGACUUCUGUUUACGACGUAUCUACCGACGGUGGCGGGGGUGUCAAGUAUGGAUUUUGGACUGUUUGAAACGGCGGAACGAGACUCUGACUAUUACAGUUACUGUUUAUCAUCAAAGUGUCUUCCACCUCGCUUAGCGAGUGGUGUAUGUUUCUGUUUCGGCGGCGGCGGCGUUGCCGUAGAGUCCACGCCACCGACCUCAAACGCGUCAUGGCAACCACGAAAAUGCUUAACGAACGCAGGCAAAAAGCAAAGGUAAACGAACUCAAACACCAGACUUCGUCCGCCCGGAAGAACCACCGCCACAGGCCAUGAGAAACCGCCAAUAACAUCCCCGGUAAUGGCACAAAACGGACCAGAAAGGGCCCCGUUGACACAUUGACACCCGAUUAUGAUCGUACUCACAUUGAACCUUUAUUAUUUGUAUCCGACCACAGAUCGUUCCAGACACACUGCAUCAGAAACAUCGCCAAUGACCGUUUACCCAAGGAUGUUUUCGCAGUUUGACGGUGAGUCUUGCUCCACCUCUAUCUUGUUCGCUAUGUAUUGUUCCGUUUGGGCUUAGACAAACACGCAUACCAGUCAAAGAAGAUGGAGAGCAUCAUACACCAUCAAGCAUACGUACGCAUGUCCAAGAGAGAGGACCUGAUUCCACCAUGGCUCCAAGUAUAGUGUUUUUCGUUCUCGGUCGCCCCGAAUCAGCGGACGCGUUUCGGUAUAGAACCUUUAUCAGCACUAUCGGAGUCGACGUUAGUCACGGACCGAGAAGAGAGGAGAACGAGAGGAGAGAAGAGACUCUUGUCUAUUUGUGAUGAUGCUCGUUUGAAAGACAGAAAAUUUGUCAUAUUUUCUCUAUGAAAGACAGCAAGGUGGUAGAGACUUGGUGCUAGUUAGACUCGAAGUAUGCAACCUCUUCACCACCCCUGCUAUUUUCAGGACGUCAACAAACUAAAGAGACAUCCAGUAAACAGGAAAAAUCGUAAAGAGACUGGGUUGAGUCUAUGGCACGUUUGCAAGUGAUCGUUGUGUCAGUGCGUCGAGUGCCAUGUCAAUCAAUAA